UGUUUGUGCACGAGUGUUUGGGAAAUUGAAUCGAUUGCAAUGAUUGAACUUCUAUUCAUCUGAAUAGCUUCUCCUGGAUUGCUUCCCGCCAUCUUUUCCGAGGUGGAACGACGAGACUGCAGAUGCAUGUAAAUCAGUCUGCGGGGCUUCGUUGAGAUCGGAAUGAGAGCUGGCAGGGUGGUGACAAAAAUGCCAACGCAAUCUGAAAGGGCACCGAUGAAAGGCAACACAAUUAGUGUCUGGAGGGGGGAGAAAUCGGAGACGAGGAGGACGGGAAUCACACAGCGGUAAUUAAUGCAUAUUAAAAUCAAUAGCAUGUUUGUUUCAAUGAACAGCUGACGAGAGAUGAUGUCAUUAAACGAGUGUUUGUCAGAAGUUAAAAAGCCUUGAGAAAUAAGACAUAUGCGGAUUGAAUUUUGAGCAGGUUUCAUUAAUAGAUAUAUAUUUAUUACUCGUUUCAAUUAAUGGAGUAUUCCAGUACUUUAACAACAUAGAAGAACCUGCUAGCUCUAGACAUUUGAAUGAAUUUGUAGCAAGGUAGCUCAACUUUGCUCUGCCAGGUCUUGCUGGCAGGGAAUUGAGGUGUUUGGUUCCUACAUCAUGGCCUUCAGCACAGAUUUACUCUGACAAAGACAACCUGAGCGACUCCAAAUCGACCGUAGCUUCUCCACCUUCUGCAAGUGAGAUUAUAUGCCACAAUCAUUACAUGGAUGAGGAAGCCAGGCUGUUGAUGAAUACUGACUCUGGGCUAACCGACUGCAUUCAUUCCCAGGAGACCACCUUGUAGAGGCUCUUUCUGGAGAAUGAACACGUCAGAAUGCCAUCGGUGUCAGAGAAGAUGUGCUGUUGGAUGCCAUUUUGGCUUAUAUCUGCUCUGAGAUGUGAGGCGUAGGUGCCUAUUGCAGUUGGAAGCUAAGACAGACCUGCAAAUCAGAGUCCAAUCUGCCAUUUCACAGUGCCAUUAAGAGAAAAACUGAUGCUCCGGGCA
Carassius auratus (goldfish) is the source of this 988-nucleotide long non-coding RNA. RefSeq lists it as uncharacterized. Lineage: Eukaryota; Metazoa; Chordata; Actinopteri; Cypriniformes; Cyprinidae. The transcript is spliced from 3 exons. The record is from RefSeq and is a predicted model, not a curated record.